This is a long non-coding RNA of Canis lupus familiaris (dog), 1214 nucleotides long. RefSeq lists it as uncharacterized. The transcript has 4 exons. The record is from RefSeq and is a predicted model, not a curated record. Lineage: Eukaryota; Metazoa; Chordata; Mammalia; Carnivora; Canidae.
AGAAAUGCACCUGUCCUGUCAAGAACGGCUGUGGGGAGGAAGGGGAGAAUAUGAUAAGCCACUGUCCUAUUCCAACUUCAGCUCCGUGACAUAGAGGCAACCUGUGCUCCCAGGACGGCUUUUCCAGAGCUACCAGGAUAUCACUGGAGGGAAUAUGCCAAAUCCAGGAGGACAGUGCCCUGGAAUUCUGCUCACUUUGGGAAGCACGACACUCUGAUGGAAGGAGUGCAGGCCACAUUUUUGCUUGGCUCCUUCUGCAUGGCUACUGACUGGAUUGAAGGCUCGGUGCCAGCUCCAAAGGGCAACGUCACAGCAAUGGCUUUACCAUCGCCAGUGCCUAAAUCCUGACACAUAGAAGAUGUUGAAGAAACUGCGUGGGAACAUACCAGAAACAAAAGCACCCACAGGCGGUCCAAGAAGAGAGCUGGGAUUUUUGAGUCUGGACUGCCCAUGUGCUGGGUCCUAACAUGACAUCCUCUAUGGGAGACAGAUGACCGAUGCCUCGGGCCCAGGCUGGAAGUGCCCGGUGAGGUGGGAACAGUGACAACUGUGGAAUCCGAAGGAAACUUCCGAUAACAUGGGGAAACAAAAAUACAGGUAUGGCACCCAUGACCCCUUUGAGCUCUCCUUCUUGCUGUUCUCCACGGGCCAUUGGUAAGUUCCUCUCAGUGCUCAGCUCCGCUCUCUGUACUAAUUGGCAGUUAGAUGGCUCCCCAUCUAACCGGCUUUCUACAGUUCCCCAUCUGAUUGAAAUCCCCAGCUCAAUCCUCAGAUUCCACCUUGGGAGCUGCUGGUGGCUCAGUUCACAGUUCCUCAUUUGUUUAGGAUCCCAGCCCACAGGGCCCAUUCCUUGGAGUCUGCUGCUUUAGUCCUUGUCCCAGCCCCAGGUCCAUGUUAGGAAUCGGUGGUGGUUACCGACCAGGCUCAGACUGGGUCUGAUGUGAUUUGUGUAGAUGAAGGCUACUGUUAACCUCAGAAGCCCAAAUCCACAAAACCAGUGGGCACAACUGAGCAUUUAAAAGCAAUCAGAAUGCAUUCUACCUAACUCUUGAGACUCCUGGGUCUUAAGCUAGUCUCCCAAUUUAAGAAUAAAUUGGUUACAGAAUGAGCUAGAUUGACACUAGGGCACCUGCAACCUCAAGAAAAUUUCCAUGUGAUGAAGUACCCUGUAAAACACCUUAUAAUCACCAAGCCAGCAGUGCAUUCCCCUUAGG